CGGCGAUUUCCGAAUGGGGAAACCCAGUGUGUUUCGACACACUAUCAUUAACUGAAUCCAUAGGUUAAUGAGGCGAACCGGGGGAACUGAAACAUCUAAGUACCCCGAGGAAAAGAAAUCAACCGAGAUUCCCCCAGUAGCGGCGAGCGAACGGGGAGCAGCCCAGAGCCUGAAUCAGUGUGUGUGUUAGUGGAAGCGUCUGGAAAGGCGCGCGAUACAGGGUGACAGCCCCGUACACAAAAAUGCACAUGCUGUGAGCUCGAUGAGUAGGGCGGGACACGUGGUAUCCUGUCUGAAUAUGGGGGGACCAUCCUCCAAGGCUAAAUACUCCUGACUGACCGAUAGUGAACCAGUACCGUGAGGGAAAGGCGAAAAGAACCCCGGCGAGGGGAGUGAAAAAGAACCUGAAACCGUGUACGUACAAGCAGUGGGAGCCUCUUUAUGGGGUGACUGCGUACCUUUUGUAUAAUGGGUCAGCGACUUAUAUUCUGUAGCAAGGUUAACCGAAUAGGGGAGCCGAAGGGAAACCGAGUCUUAACUGGGCGUUAAGUUGCAGGGUAUAGACCCGAAACCCGGUGAUCUAGCCAUGGGCAGGUUGAAGGUUGGGUAACACUAACUGGAGGACCGAACCGACUAAUGUUGAAAAAUUAGCGGAUGACUUGUGGCUGGGGGUGAAAGGCCAAUCAAACCGGGAGAUAGCUGGUUCUCCCCGAAAGCUAUUUAGGUAGCGCCUCGUGAAUUCAUCUCCGGGGGUAGAGCACUGUUUCGGCAAGGGGGUCAUCCCGACUUACCAACCCGAUGCAAACUGCGAAUACCGGAGAAUGUUAUCACGGGAGACACACGGCGGGUGCUAACGUCCGUCGUGAAGAGGGAAACAACCCAGACCGCCAGCUAAGGUCCCAAAGUCAUGGUUAAGUGGGAAACGAUGUGGGAAGGCCCAGACAGCCAGGAUGUUGGCUUAGAAGCAGCCAUCAUUUAAAGAAAGCGUAAUAGCUCACUGGUCGAGUCGGCCUGCGCGGAAGAUGUAACGGGGCUAAACCAUG
This 1043-nucleotide ribosomal RNA is filed under the name Escherichia coli. RNAcentral's name for it is "partial 23S ribosomal RNA". It matches the Rfam family "Bacterial large subunit ribosomal RNA", at positions 105 to 1191 of the family's 2925-position model. Lineage: Bacteria; Pseudomonadati; Pseudomonadota; Gammaproteobacteria; Enterobacterales; Enterobacteriaceae. The record is from RNAcentral.